CCGCUGAACUUAAGCAUAUCAAUAAGCGGAGGAAAAGAAAAUAACAAUGAUUCCCCUAGUAACUGCGAGUGAAGAGGGACAAGCUCAAAUUUUAAAUCUGUCGGGUUCUACCUGACCGAGUUGUAAUUUGAAGAGGCGUUUUCUGUGUUUCUGAUCAGUCCAAGUCCUUUGGGAUAAGGCAUCACGGAGGGUGAGAAUCCCGUUCGGUUGAUCAGAUUCGCUUUACGAUACGCUUUCAAAGAGUCAAGUUGUUUGGGAUUGCAGCU
RNAcentral lists this ribosomal RNA (266 nucleotides) under uncultured Glomus. RNAcentral's name for it is "partial large subunit ribosomal RNA". It matches the Rfam family "Eukaryotic large subunit ribosomal RNA", at positions 25 to 287 of the family's 3401-position model. Lineage: Eukaryota; Fungi; Glomeromycota; Glomeromycetes; Glomerales; Glomeraceae. The record is from RNAcentral.